Molecule: ribosomal RNA, 117 nt
Filed under: Klebsiella pneumoniae
Lineage: Bacteria; Pseudomonadati; Pseudomonadota; Gammaproteobacteria; Enterobacterales; Enterobacteriaceae
Description: partial 16S ribosomal RNA
Rfam family: Bacterial small subunit ribosomal RNA
Source: RNAcentral
ACUUAAAUUGAAGAGUUUGAUCAUGGCUCAGAUUGAACGCUGGCGGCAGGCCUAACACAUGCAAGUCGAGCGGUAGCACAGAGAGCUUGCUCUCGGGUGACGAGCGGCGGACGGGUG